Molecule: long non-coding RNA, 1461 nt
Organism: Mercenaria mercenaria
Lineage: Eukaryota; Metazoa; Mollusca; Bivalvia; Venerida; Veneridae
Exons: 2
Source: RefSeq, a predicted model, not a curated record
AAUUAGUGGGCCACACACCAGAGACGACGAAAGAUACCUGCCAGGGUUACUCAGUAUGAAUGGCAACCAUAUAUGAGCACCAGCCGAAGGUAUUUCAUACGACUGCAGACAAAAAACGACAUUAAAAUUCCAUUGGACAAAUACAGCCCUUCUAGACUACGGAGAAAAGGGUUCCUAAUCUUGUCGAACUACCGGGAAAAUCUCAAAAUUAAGAAAGUUGCAGUGUUGACAGCCUGUAUUCGAUACUAUUUGAUCUUGCGGCCAGCAAGGACAGAAUUCAGUGCGGACAAACAGACCCAGUACAUGGAUAUUCGAACUGCACAGACGGAAUUCCUGUGCAAGUCCAGUGCUUUCCAUUCUGCGUCCAAAGGAGUCCCGGAACAAUGACAGGUUCCACCUUGCACAGUACUAUUAAACAUGGCAAUUAGCCCAACAAAAACUAUUGCAUAGAAAAUGUAUGCUGAGACAAGAUGUCUUGAGAAGCCUAAUUUUAAGGUUCGUCGCGACUAAGCAUUUCUGGAUGCAACGCAAUUACCAAUUAUUACACUGUACAAAAUUUCACAACUCUUAAGUUUUGAAAGUAAUGACGUUUUAACAAUUAUAGAAUUAAUAAGGUUUUCAAAAAUGUUAAGACUAAUUGUCUCUUUUUCCUAUUUUAUUUCCAAAGUUACACCGUCCUUAAAUCCCACAUACUGACUUGGUAUCAAAUCUAAAUAUUGCCUUUAGGCUGAACACCACUAAAUCCAGCUCUUCUUUAUUUCAUAUAAAAUCCACUUACUUCAUAACGGUUUUUCGACAUUUUGUUGCAUAUCAGAUUUUCAGAGACUUAUCAGUUGUUCCAGAUUCUAUUUGGUAGUAAUCAGCUUUUAUACAGAAUCUCCAUUGUUUGAUAAAAUAAGUUUCCCACACAGAUUUCGAAAUACUAAAAAUAUGGUCUUUUAUUCAACACCUUCUCUAAAGGUAUUUUAACUAAUGCUACUGGCUGCAAUACAUUCAAGUACAAAAUAUAUUCUGAUAAUAUUGUUUGAAAUAUACUUAAGGCCGAAACAUACGCAAACUAUUCGUAGGUUUAGUGUGGUUGGCGGUACUACUGAUUAUAUCGAUACAAGAAUUCUAUUACCAGUCACCAUCAGAAAUAACAAGAUAGUGUCCACGACCAAAAUAAUAAUUUCCAACUAACAUCCAAAACAUGCCUGUGGUCUGAAAAUAUGAUGAGGAAACCAUUCAUUUUUCCGGCCUUUGUAACUAAUGGUCAGCAACAUAGACACACAAUGAGUUCAUAAAUGUUUCAUAGUAAAUCCGCAUGACAAGAGCAAGGUGAUACAGAAAUGUAAAUAAUUGUUGUUUGUAAAUAUGAUUGUAAAUUUAUAAUAAAAGCGGCGGCUGAAACAUAUGUGUGAUUAGUGUUGAUAUGUGUGUAACAUUUGUAUUUUAUAUAUCCAAUGAAGAACAUAAAGUUGA